This 314-nucleotide ribosomal RNA is filed under the name Aeromonas caviae. Its description in RNAcentral is "partial 23S ribosomal RNA". It matches the Rfam family "Bacterial large subunit ribosomal RNA", at positions 1082 to 1396 of the family's 2925-position model. Lineage: Bacteria; Pseudomonadati; Pseudomonadota; Gammaproteobacteria; Aeromonadales; Aeromonadaceae. The record is from RNAcentral.
GGCUCAGACAGCUAGGAUGUUGGCUUAGAAGCAGCCAUCAUUUAAAGAAAGCGUAAUAGCUCACUAGUCGAGUCGGCCUGCGCGGAAGAUGUAACGGGGCUCAAACCAGGCACCGAAGCCGCGGAUUCACGCUAAGCGUGAGUGGUAGGGGAGCGUUCUGUAAGUCUGCGAAGGUGUGUCGAGAGGCAUGCUGGAGAUAUCAGAAGUGCGAAUGCUGACGUAAGUAACGAUAAAGGGGGUGAAAAGCCUCCUCGCCGGAAGACCAAGGGUUCCUGUCCAACGUUAAUCGGGGCAGGGUGAGUCGACCCCUAAGG